CACGUAGGGGGCAAGCGUUGUCCGGAUUUAUUGGGCGUAAAGAGCUCGUAGGCGGUUUGUCGCGUCGGCCGUGAAAUCUCCACGCUUAACGUGGAGCGUGCGGUCGAUACGGGCAGACUUGAGUUCGGUAGGGGAGACUGGAAUUCCUGGUGUAGCGGUGAAAUGCGCAGAUAUCAGGAGGAACACCGGUGGCGAAGGCGGGUCUCUGGGCCGAUACUGACGCUGAGACACGAAAGCGUGGGGAGCAAACAGG
This 253-nucleotide ribosomal RNA is filed under the name uncultured bacterium. RNAcentral describes it as "partial 16S ribosomal RNA". It matches the Rfam family "Bacterial small subunit ribosomal RNA", at positions 524 to 776 of the family's 1533-position model. The record is from RNAcentral.